RNAcentral lists this transfer RNA (63 nucleotides) under Calochromus sp. UPOL MT0004. Its description in RNAcentral is "tRNA-Leu". RNAcentral also lists the same sequence under 2 other names. Lineage: Eukaryota; Metazoa; Arthropoda; Insecta; Coleoptera; Lycidae. The record is from RNAcentral.
UUACUUUGGCAGAUUAGUGUAUAUAAUUUAGAAUUAUAUUAAGUAAAUUUUUACAAGUAAUAU